Nicotiana tabacum (common tobacco) is the source of this 663-nucleotide non-coding RNA. NCBI's taxonomy places the organism in Eukaryota, Viridiplantae, Streptophyta, Magnoliopsida, Solanales, Solanaceae. The record is from RefSeq and is a predicted model, not a curated record.
UUGUCUUGCUUUUGAUGUAGGGUGUUGAUAUUUGGUCCUUUGGGUGCGUCCUCCUGGAGUUGUUAACGCUGCAACUUCCUUACUCAGAGUUAUCUGAAUUAGAUAUCCACAAUUCUCUUCAGGUGGGUAAUCGGCCACAACUACCUGAAGAACUAGAGGUAAUGGCCACAUCAUCCAAAGCAGAGCUGGAGGAUCUAGCAAAGACUUGUUCUGGCUCUGACCUAGACAAGCAGCAAUCUGAAUCUCAUAUCCUGAGAUUUCUCGUUUCUAUUUACCGUUGGUGUACCGAGAAGGAUCCAGACGACCGUCCCACAGCAGAGAACCUCUACAAUGUCUUGCUUACCUGUGCUAACUCUCUCCCUCUACAGAGUCAAGAAGAAGGAUCAAAGUCCAUCAGAUGAAAUUGAUCUUCCCCAAAAUUUUUGUAGCCUUAGGAUGUUGUAUACUAGCAUUAGAUUAUUUGGAGUUAGGACCCGUUGAGCAAUGUAACAUGUUCCUUAGCCUCGCUUCAAUUAGAGUACCUCACGGUCUUAUUCGAGACACUAUGAUACUUUUCUAUCAUUUUCCUAUUCCUUUUCCAGCUUGUAGUUCUAUAUACUUGUUGCCAUCUAAUGUAUUCCUUUUCCCAAUUGAUAAUUAUGAUAUUAUUCCAGUUUAUACUUC